GAAAAAAUCCAAAAAAAAGCAGUAGCCAACAUUGCCUUAUCUUAUCCACAAGCUCGUCAUUGCUCUACCUCCAUUGUUCCUCCUCCUGCAACCUCAUGCCACCACCACCUGACCAUCGCAAAUGUCCCAACCGCACCAGCGAAUCCGUUCCUCUCGAUCUUCUCCUCGUCCUUCUGCAUCGACCCGAUGCCACCUCAUCCUCCUCCACGCCUACCUCCUGCUGCUCCUCCUCUCGCCCUGCUCGAGCGCUGCUUGCACGCUCAUGUAGCUGGCCGCCUCACACGGAACCGUGCCGCC
This 297-nucleotide long non-coding RNA is filed under the name Hordeum vulgare. RNAcentral's name for it is "long non-coding RNA (HVUL_LNC002190)". The record is from RNAcentral. Lineage: Eukaryota; Viridiplantae; Streptophyta; Magnoliopsida; Poales; Poaceae.